GGGUUGUGAGGUUAAGCGAAUAAGCGUACACGGUGGAUGCCCUGGCAGUCAGAGGCGAUGAAGGGCGUGCUAAUCUGCGAUAAGCGCCGGUAAGGUGAUAUGAACCGUUAUAACCGGCGAUACCCGAAUGGGGAAACCCAGUGUGACUCGUCACACUAUCAUUAACUGAAUCCAUAGGUUAAUGAGGCGAACCGGGGGAACUGAAACAUCUAAGUACCCCGAGGAAAAGAAAUCAACCGAGAUUCCCCCAGUAGCGGCGAGCGAACGGGGAGGAGCCCAGAGCCUGAAUCAGCAUGUGUGUUAGUGGAAGCGUCUGGAAAGGCGCGCGAUACAGGGUGACAGCCCCGUACACAAAAGCGCAUGUGCUGUGAGCUCGAUGAGUAGGGCGGGACACGUGGUAUCCUGUCUGAAUAUGGGGGGACCAUCCUCCAAGGCUAAAUACUCCUGACUGACCGAUAGUGAACCAGUACCGUGAGGGAAAGGCGAAAAGAACCCCGGCGAGGGGAGUGAAAAAGAACCUGAAACCGUGUACGUACAAGCAGUGGGAGCCCCACCACUAAGCCAGUGGUGAACUCCACAUACGCAUCCUUUGCUGAGGAUACGGUUAACGGAGCGAAAGCGACGUUCAACCUCAAAAGAAGCAGAGGGGGCUUAGUGGUGGGGUGACUGCGUACCUUUUGUAUAAUGGGUCAGCGACUUAUAUUCUGUAGCAAGGUUAACCGAAUAGGGGAGCCGCAGGGAAACCGAGUCUUAAUUGGGCGUUAAGUUGCAGGGUAUAGACCCGAAACCCGGUGAUCUAGCCAUGGGCAGGUUGAAGGUUGGGUAACACUAACUGGAGGACCGAACCGACUAAUGUUGAAAAAUUAGCGGAUGACCUGUGGCUGGGGGUGAAAGGCCAAUCAAACCGGGAGAUAGCUGGUUCUCCCCGAAAGCUAUUUAGGUAGCGCCUCGUGAAUUCAUCUCCGG
RNAcentral lists this ribosomal RNA (966 nucleotides) under Salmonella enterica subsp. enterica serovar Cullingworth. Its description in RNAcentral is "partial 23S ribosomal RNA". It matches the Rfam family "Bacterial large subunit ribosomal RNA", at positions 1 to 899 of the family's 2925-position model. Lineage: Bacteria; Pseudomonadati; Pseudomonadota; Gammaproteobacteria; Enterobacterales; Enterobacteriaceae. The record is from RNAcentral.